CCUACGGGUGGCAGCAGUAGGGAAUUUUGCGCAAUGGGCGAAAGCCUGACGCAGCAACGCCGCGUGAUUGAUUAAGCCCUUCGGGGUGUAAAGAUCUGUCAGUGGGGACGAAACUUGACGGUACCCACAGAGGAAGCACCGGCUAACUCCGUGCCAGCAGCCGCGGUAAUACGGAGGGUGCAAGCGUUGUCCGGAAUCAUUGGGCGUAAAGAGUUCGUAGGUGGCAUAUUAAGUCUGGUGUUAAAUGCAGAAGCUCAACUUCUGUUCGGCACUGGAUACUGGUAAGCUUGAAUGCGGUAGAGGUAAAGGGAAUUCCUGGUGUAGCGGUGAAAUGCGUAGAUAUCAGGAGGAACUCCGAUUGCGAAGGCAGCUUACUAAACUGCCACUGACAUUGAUGCUCGAAAGUGUGGGUAUCAAACAGGAUUAGAUACCCCUGUAGUC
This 441-nucleotide ribosomal RNA is filed under the name uncultured bacterium. RNAcentral's name for it is "partial 16S ribosomal RNA". It matches the Rfam family "Bacterial small subunit ribosomal RNA", at positions 338 to 795 of the family's 1533-position model. The record is from RNAcentral.